UAAGAGUUUGAUUCUUGCUCAUUAAUUAGUUAAUUGAAUGUUUUUAUAUGUUUAAAAUAUAGAAUAUUUUUUCAGCAGUGAUUAAUAUUAUAAAUUAUUAUAGUUCUUAAUUUAGUAAUUCAAUUAAAAUUGAUUAAUAUUGUGCCAGCAUUCGCGGUUAAACAAUUAAUUUAAUUUAAUUCAAUAGGUUUAAGUAAUUUAAUUUAAAAUUAGAAUUUACUUUAUUAUUAUUUGGGUGGAAUUUAUAAUUAUACUAAUUUUCUUUUAUUAAAUUUAUGAAAUCUUUUCUGUUAAACUAGGAUUAGAUACCCUAUUAUUAAAGUUUUAAAUCAAAAAUAACUCCUGAAUACUAAAAGUUAUGUUCUUUAAAACUCAAAGAAUUUGGCGGUAAUUUAUUUCUUUUUAGAGGAACCUGUGCUGUAAUUGAUAAACCACGAUAAAUUAAACCUUAAUUAAAUUUGUAUAUCUCUAUGUUUAUUGAAUAUUUUAUUAGAAUUAUUUUCUUUAACUUUAAAAGUUUAAUUUUAGGUCAAGGUGCAGUUUUAUUAAGGUAGUUCAUGGGUUACUUUAUUUUAAAAAAAAUUAGGAUUUAAUUUAUUAUAUUUUUUAAUGAAAUAGGAUUUAAUAGUAAUUUUAAUUAAUUUAUUAUUUUGAAUAAAGCUCUAUAUUAUGCACAUAUCGCCCGUCGCUCCUAAUUUAUAUUAGGACAAGUCGUAACAUAGUAGUUGUACCGGAAGGUGUAGCUAGAAUGGAAUAA
RNAcentral lists this non-coding RNA (757 nucleotides) under Mileewa amplimacula. Lineage: Eukaryota; Metazoa; Arthropoda; Insecta; Hemiptera; Cicadellidae. The record is from RNAcentral.